GAUGAACGCUAGCGGGAGGCCUAACACAUGCAAGCCGAGCGGUAUUGUUUCUUCGGAAAUGAGAGAGCGGCGUACGGGUGCGGAACACGUGUGCAACCUGCCUUUAUCUGGGGGAUAGCCUUUCGAAAGGAAGAUUAAUACUCCAUAAUAUAUUGAACGGCAUCGUUUAAUAUUGAAAGCUCCGGCGGAUAGAGAUGGGCACGCGCAAGAUUAGCUAGUUGGUGAGGUAACGGCUCACCAAGGCGAUGAUCUUUAGGGGGCCUGAGAGGGUGAUCCCCCACACUAGUACUGAGACACGGACCAGACUCCUACGGGAGGCAGCAGUGAGGAAUAUUGGUCAAUGGGUGCAAGCCUGAACCAGCCAUCCCGCGUGAAGGACGACUGCCCUAUGGGUUGUAAACUUCUUUUGUAUAGGGAUAAACCUACCCUCGUGAGGGUAGCUGAAGGUACUAUACGAAUAAGCACCGGCUAACUCCGUGCCAGCAGCCGCGGUAAUACGGAGGGUGCAAGCGUUAUCCGGAUUUAUUGGGUUUAAAGGGUCCGUAGGCGGACUUAUAAGUCAGUGGUGAAAGCCUGUCGCUUAACGAUAGAACUGCCAUUGAUACUGUAAGUCUUGAGUAUAUUUGAGGUAGCUGGAAUAAGUAGUGUAGCGGUGAAAUGCAUAGAUAUUACUUAGAACACCAAUUGCGAAGGCAGGUUACCAAGAUAUAACUGACGCUGAGGGACGAAAGCGUGGGGAGCGAACAGG
RNAcentral lists this ribosomal RNA (748 nucleotides) under uncultured Cloacibacterium sp. RNAcentral describes it as "bacterial SSU rRNA". It matches the Rfam family "Bacterial small subunit ribosomal RNA", at positions 28 to 776 of the family's 1533-position model. The record is from RNAcentral. Lineage: Bacteria; Pseudomonadati; Bacteroidota; Flavobacteriia; Flavobacteriales; Weeksellaceae.